RNAcentral lists this ribosomal RNA (206 nucleotides) under uncultured bacterium. Its description in RNAcentral is "partial 16S ribosomal RNA". It matches the Rfam family "Bacterial small subunit ribosomal RNA", at positions 568 to 774 of the family's 1533-position model. The record is from RNAcentral.
UGCGUAGGCGGCUCGUUAAGUCGGGGUGAAAUACUUCGGCUCAACCGGAGAAUUGCCUUCGAUACUGGCGAGCUGGAGGAAGGUAGGGGUCGCGGGAACUGCCAGUGGAGCGGUGAAAUGCGUUGAUAUUGGCAGGAACGCCGGUGGUGAAGACGCGCGGCUGGACCUUUUCUGACGCUGAUGCACGAAAGCCAGGGGAGCGAACG